CGAGUCGAACAGGCGGUUGCGGGCGCUCACGCGUCCGAGGAAAGUCCGGGCUGCACAGGGCAGGGUGCUGGGUAACGCCCAGUGGGGGCGACCCCAAGGAAAGUGCCACAGAAACAAACCGCCGCAUGGUCGGUAAGGGUGCAACGGUGGUGUAAGAGACCACCGGGGGCCGGGCGACCGGCCCGCCAGGCAAACCCCACCCGCAGCAAGACCCAAUAGGGGAGGCAUGACGCGGCCCGCCGACCUCCCGGGUGUGGUCGCUGGAGGCGCGCGGCAACGCGCGUCCUAGAUAGAUGACCGCCCACGACAGGACCCGGCUUACCGUUCGGCUCGCUUU
Molecule: RNase P RNA, 337 nt
Filed under: Bacillota bacterium
Lineage: Bacteria; Bacillati; Bacillota
Description: RNase P RNA component class A
Rfam family: Bacterial RNase P class A
About the family: Ribonuclease P (RNase P) is a ubiquitous endoribonuclease, found in archaea, bacteria and eukarya as well as chloroplasts and mitochondria. Its best characterised activity is the generation of mature 5'-ends of tRNAs by cleaving the 5'-leader elements of precursor-tRNAs.
Source: RNAcentral